This 912-nucleotide ribosomal RNA is filed under the name uncultured archaeon. Its description in RNAcentral is "bacterial SSU rRNA". It matches the Rfam family "Archaeal small subunit ribosomal RNA", at positions 1 to 922 of the family's 1478-position model. The record is from RNAcentral.
UCCGGUUGAUCCUGCCGGACCUGACUGCUAUCGGAUUGGUACUAAGCCAUGCGAGUCAUUGUAGCAAUACAAGGCGGACGGCUCAGUAACACGUAGUCAACCUAACUCGUGGGCGUGGAUAACCUCGGGAAACUGAGAAUAAACCACGAUAGAUCAUAGUGCCUGGAAUGGCUUAUGGUCAAAACAGUUUACUGCCAUGGGAUGGGACUGCGGCCUAUCAGCUUGUUGGUGAGGUAAUGGCCCACCAAGGCGAUUACAGGUACGGGCUCUGAGAGGAGAAGCCCGGAGAUGGGUACUGAGACACGGACCCAGGCCCUAUGGGGCGCAGCAGGCGAGAAACCUUAGCAAUGUGCGAAAGCACGACUGGGUCAGUCCGAGUGAUUCCUGAUAAAGGAGUCUUUUGCUUGUCCUAAAAGCACAGGUGAAUAAGGGGUGGGCAAGUCUGGUGUCAGCCGCCGCGGUAAUACCAGCACCUCGAGUGGUCAGGGCGUUUAUUGGGCCUAAAGCAUCCGUAGCCGGCUUUGCAAGUCUUCGGUUAAAUCCACCUGCUCAACAGAUGGGCCGCUGGAGAUACUACAAAGCUAGGGAGUGGGAGAGGCAGACGGUAUUCAGUGGGUAGGGGUAAAAUCCUCUGAUCCACUGAGGACCACCAGUGGCGAAGGCGGUCUGCCAGAACACGUUCGACGGUGAGGGAUGAAAGCUGGGGGAGCAAACCGGACUAGAUACCCGGGUAGUCCCAGCUGUAAACGAUGCAAACUCGGUGAUGCAUUGGCUUAUGGCCAAUGCAGUGCCGCAGGGAAGCCGUUAAGUUUGCCGCCUGGGAAGUACGGACGCAAGUCUGAAACUUAAAGGAAUUGGCGGGGGAGCACCACAAGGGGUGAAGCCUGCGGUUCAAUUGGACUCAACGCCGGG